GGCGGCGUGCUUAACACAUGCAAGUCGAGCGGAAAGGCCCUUCGGGGUACUCGAGCGGCGAACGGGUGAGUAACACGUGAGCAACCUGCCCUAGGCUUUGGGAUAACCCCGGGAAACCGGGGCUAAUACCGAAUAUGACUGCUGGCCGCAUGGCUGGUGGUGGAAAGUUUUUCGGCCUGGGAUGGGCUCGCGGCCUAUCAGCUUGUUGGUGGGGUGAUGGCCUACCAAGGCGACGACGGGUAGCCGGCCUGAGAGGGCGACCGGCCACACUGGGACUGAGACACGGCCCAGACUCCUACGGGAGGCAGCAGUGGGGAAUAUUGCACAAUGGGCGGAAGCCUGAUGCAGCGACGCCGCGUGAGGGAUGACGGCCUUCGGGUUGUAAACCUCUUUCAGCAGGGACGAAGCGAAAGUGACGGUACCUGCAGAAGAAGCGCCGGCCAACUACGUGCCAGCAGCCGCGGUAAGACGUAGGGCGCGAGCGUUGUCCGGAUUUAUUGGGCGUAAAGAGCUCGUAGGCGGCUUGUCGCGUCGACUGUGAAAACCCACAGCUCAACUGUGGGCCUGCAGUCGAUACGGGCAGGCUAGAGUUCGGUAGGGGAGACUGGAAUUCCUGGUGUAGCGGUGAAAUGCGCAGAUAUCAGGAGGAACACCGGUGGCGAAGGCGGGUCUCUGGGCCGAUACUGACGCUGAGGAGCGAAAGCGUGGGGAGCGAACAGGAUUAGAUACCCUGGUAGUCCACGCUGUAAACGUUGGGCGCUAGGUGUGGGGGGCCUCUCCGGUUCCCUGUGCCGCAGCUAACGCAUUAAGCGCCCCGCCUGGGGAGUACGGCCGC
This 835-nucleotide ribosomal RNA is filed under the name Micromonospora sp. IM-7076. RNAcentral's name for it is "bacterial SSU rRNA". It matches the Rfam family "Bacterial small subunit ribosomal RNA", at positions 38 to 889 of the family's 1533-position model. The record is from RNAcentral. Lineage: Bacteria; Bacillati; Actinomycetota; Actinomycetes; Micromonosporales; Micromonosporaceae.